UCAAUGUUUCAGCCCUAAUUUUAAACUUUAAUAAUUUAAGGCUUUUGGCCCUGUGAUUUGGCUCAGUGAGUAAAAGCUCAUGCCUAGCAAGCCUGAAGUCCUGGUUCAAGCCCUGAGACCUUUUCAGCACUCACAAGAUGAGAUGGGAGGCAGAGAAGGGACGAUGUUUCAACAGCUCUCCAGCCAGCAGCCUACAAUCAAAAUUUUCAUGAAGACCCUGACUGGCAAGAGCAUCACCCAGAGGUGGAGCCCAGAAUGGGGAAGCCAAGAUCUAGGAUACAUAAGGAUGGCAAUCCACAGACCAGCCGAGGACCAUCUUUGCAGCCCAGAAGCAGGGGCAUGGCUACAUGUUUCUAACUAUAACACCCAGAAAGAGUCAACCUUGCACCUGGACCUACAUCUGAGGUGUGGGUAUUAAUUCUUCAGUCUGCAUGCCCAGCAGGCGAUGAUGGCAUUACUCUGCACUGUAGUCAUUUGCUUAGAUUUGUGUUUACAAAUUAUGUUUCAAUAAUAGCUGUAUCUCUUGUUAAAAAUGUUAUUAAGGUUUCGUUGAAUGGUA
Molecule: long non-coding RNA, 559 nt
Filed under: Cricetulus griseus (Chinese hamster)
Lineage: Eukaryota; Metazoa; Chordata; Mammalia; Rodentia; Cricetidae
Description: lncRNA (ENSCGRG00000024961.1)
Source: RNAcentral